GACGAACGCUGGCGGCGUGCUUAACACAUGCAAGUCGAACGGAAAGGCCCUGCUUUUGUGGGGUGCUCGAGUGGCGAACGGGUGAGUAACACGUGAGUAACCUGCCCUUGACUUUGGGAUAACUUCAGGAAACUGGGUCUAAUACCGGAUAGGAGCUCCUGCUGCAUGGUGGGGGUUGGAAAGUUUCGGCGGUUGGGGAUGGACUCGCGGCUUAUCAGCUUGUUGGUGGGGUAGUGGCUUACCAAGGCUUUGACGGGUAGCCGGCCUGAGAGGGUGACCGGCCACAUUGGGCCUGAGAUACGGCCCAGACUCCUACGGGAGGCAGCAGUGGGGAAUAUUGCACAAUGGGCGGAAGCCUGAUGCAGCAACGCCGCGUGCGGGAUGACGGCCUUCGGGUUGUAAACCGCUUUCGCCUGUGACGAAGCGUGAGUGACGGUAAUGGGUAAAGAAGCACCGGCUAACUACGUG
RNAcentral lists this ribosomal RNA (468 nucleotides) under uncultured bacterium. RNAcentral's name for it is "partial 16S ribosomal RNA". It matches the Rfam family "Bacterial small subunit ribosomal RNA", at positions 28 to 507 of the family's 1533-position model. The record is from RNAcentral.